Molecule: long non-coding RNA, 72 nt
Organism: Amblyraja radiata (thorny skate)
Lineage: Eukaryota; Metazoa; Chordata; Chondrichthyes; Rajiformes; Rajidae
Exons: 3
Source: RefSeq, a predicted model, not a curated record
GCAUUUGGCCCAUAACCGUCUAAACCGUUCCCAUCCAUUAACCUGGCCAAAUGCCUUUUAAAAGUUGUUAUA